Molecule: long non-coding RNA, 133 nt
Organism: Hippocampus comes (tiger tail seahorse)
Lineage: Eukaryota; Metazoa; Chordata; Actinopteri; Syngnathiformes; Syngnathidae
Exons: 3
Source: RefSeq, a predicted model, not a curated record
GGAGAGACGUCUGCAGGGGGGGGGGAACGGGAAAAUAAAAAGUUGUCCACUUUGCGCUAUAGAGAGGGACAAACGAAUGUGUGGUUGUGUAAGUGCAGAACCCAAAGAACCAAUAAAAGUCUAUUGGGAUCGA